This 252-nucleotide ribosomal RNA is filed under the name uncultured bacterium. RNAcentral's name for it is "partial 16S ribosomal RNA". It matches the Rfam family "Bacterial small subunit ribosomal RNA", at positions 524 to 776 of the family's 1533-position model. The record is from RNAcentral.
UACGUAGGGGGCAAGCGUUAUCCGGAAUUAUUGGGCGUAAAGAGUACGUAGGUGGCAACCUAAGCGCAGGGUUUAAGGCAAUGGCUCAACCAUUGUUCGCCCUGCGAACUGGGAUGCUUGAGUGCAGGAGAGGAAAGCGGAAUUCCUAGUGUAGCGGUGAAAUGCGUAGAUAUUAGGAGGAACACCAGUGGCGAAGGCGGCUUUCUGGACUGUAACUGACACUGAGGUACGAAAGCGUGGGGAGCAGACAGG